UUUCAAGAUUUGGUUGCCAACUCAUAAGUCCAAAUGCAUCUGACUUCCUGCUAUUGGACCUUGUGCGUUGCAAAGUGAGUCUUACCAAAUUGUAUGUUUAAAACCUUGCUAAUUUGUUUAUUUAAACUAAUGGUACCAACGGAACUAGAGGCUAUCGAAGCACUUGAUUUCCUCAACAGCUAUCGGAGAGUUUGCUUCUUCCAACUCCUGCAGUUUCCGAGUGCGAAUGGGAAUGAUGAGUCACCGAUUGCUUUACUAUAUAUAAAAAGAAUAAAGGAAGUAAAGAGAAGCUACAUUCUCUCUAGGUUGCCUAACUUGUUGAGUAUUUCAGCAUUUUAUAGUUAACGUUUAAAAUCAUUGCUUUUCCGAUCUCCAAUGGGUUCAUAGAAGAUGAAGAAACUGAAGAAAAUUGCCAGAAAAGCAAGUCAAAAGCUCACAAGUCCAGUGUGACAGCAGAGCCAGCUGAUUCCAUUUCUCCCCCGGAGAGAUGACAAGAAAAUAGGAUUCCAAUAUGCAUUUGGACAUUGGGAAUGUAUUUCUUCAGGGCUGCUGGAGCCCAACCAUGUGAAAAAGUGGGGAUGAUUUUGUGCCAUUGUUGUGAUUAAUGGCUGUGUGGAAGUCAACUGAGCCAUUAAGAAUUAAUGAUAUGCAGGUCUUAUCAACAGGAAACUCUGCACCUACACUUAUACAGUAUAUACUUACAGAAAAGGAUUGCACAAUUGUAUUUAAGAUAGAAAAUAUUAGUAGUUUCAAAUUUUGCAAAUAAGCCACUAUGCAGACAUAUUUUUAAAAUUAAAUUGAAAUCCACGGCAUUUACUAUAUUUCAUUUUCCAUUCAACUAUCAUGAUGUAGUUGCUGGCCCUAAUCAUUUGGUGACUCUGCAGAGCAAGUUUUACACACAAACCGAUUGUCACUUGUAUCCUUGGUUGGGCAGUCAUUUCCUGUCUGCAAACCUUGUAAUUAAUUAUCACCAACAGAAAAUGCUGAAAAAACUUAGCAAGUUGGGCAGCAUCAUUUGUUAACAUUAUGUGUUGGAGACCCUUGUAUUUUUCCAGCCUUUUCUGACUUUCAGAUUUCCAGCAUCUGCAGUUUUUGCCAUUUCUGUUUUGAGUUUUUAUAACAACUUAGAUCACAGUAUCAUAAAUUAAAAGUUGCCAUCUCAGCUUUUCCUUUUGAAUAUUCCAUUCAAUAAAAGCAUUCAAUAAAAACAGUCGAUAGAAGUCCUGCCAAAGGGUUUCGGCCCGAAACGUCACUGUACUUUUUUUCCAUGGAUGCUGCCUGGCCCACUGAGUUCCUCCAGCAUUUUGUGUGUUUUGCUUGGAUUUCCAACAUCUGUAGAUUUUCUCUUGUUUGUAAUAAAAGCAUAUAGUUGCAGCCUUUGGCCAACAAGUGACCCCAUAUAGUAAGUCUGUGGGUUAUCCAAAGUCAAGACUACAGGAACAUGAGAAAAUAAGAGUAGGAGUAGACCACUUGGACUCUUAAGCCUUUCAAUUUGAUCUAUGCUGGCCUCAAUAACCUCUCCUCAGGGUUUCCUAACUAUACAAUUCCUUCCCCCUCACAGAUGCUGCUCAACCCACCAAGUUCCUUCACGAUUUUCACUAAAGAAUUUUCAAUUAGUGUCCACAUGCCACAAACUGAAGGAUAUUGCUUCUAUCGUAUACACAUUGUUUUCUGAUAGUUUGUGAAUGAUGCAUUUUCUAAUAUCUAGUUUGCAAAAUCAUAUUAACAAACAUUAUAUCCCAGAAGUGCUUUAACAGUAAUUAUGGUGAUUCAGAUUCAAUUAUUUAUCACAUGUACAUUGAAACAUACAGUGAAAUGUGUCAUUUGCAUUAACAACCAACACAACCUAAAGAUGUGCUGUGGGCAGCCCACAAAUGUGUUAGCACACAUUCUGGUGCCAGCAUAACAUUACCACAGCAGAAGCAACGUCAACAACACAACAACAGCAAAACAAACCCCUUUUCUCCCUCCCACCUACGCACUCUCUCACACACAUACACAGACAGGUCUUCAAUCCCAGGACGGGCCACUCCAAACCAUUACCCUGCAGUCCUUGGUCUGUAUGCGAAGAAUCCAAAUGUCAGGCAUUUGACUUCCAGGCCCUCCGACCCAGGGGCCUUGUCCAUUGGGCCUUGUGUACUGGUAGCACAACUUGGGUGAGACAUGCAAAGGGAUUGGCUGUGACUUCGUCAUCAUCAGAUGAUUGCUGACAAUUAUUGUUUCAUGCAUGAGAAACAGGCAUUUCAGCAAGGUUCUAGGCAAUAGCCAAGAUCCUUAGAACUGUAUCCUUAUUAGUAAGCAUUUGCACCUCUUGUGGGGAGUUGAGCACAAAUUCCUUUGAUUAGCCUGAUUAGUCUUUAACCUCUCAGAAUCACAAAUCAAAAAAAGUGUAACAUUAUCAGCCAGUUGGUGUAGGUAGUAUGAGAGCCUUUGUUCCCAGUGGGGAAAAUGCCAGUAUGGAGUGUUCACGGAUCAGGGAUAGAACUAACCCAUAGUUAGAGACAGAACUAUUGACUCACUAAGUAAGAUCCUGCACACAAGAGUAAAACUAUUCUUCAUUAUAUUACUGGAAAAAUGAAUCCUGGUUUUGGGAAUUGCAAGUGUGAAGACUGCUAAUGCAGGAAUAGUGGAGCAAUGAUCUCACUGUUCGCAAUGAAUAUACAUUCAAAGAAUGUUGAGACUGUUUUUACAAUGUACUUUUCUCCAUAAAACCCUAAAGUAUUUUUGUGCAGGUUUUGCUGUGUCACAGGUCGGGAUGCAAUUAUUUAUAUCUGUUGUUUGUUAAGCAGUGUCAUUAGUAAUGUAGUCAGUAAGUUUGUUUUUGUGUGAUAACAUGAAAUUGAUGAUAUAGUUCAACUGCCAUACACCUCUCUUGAUUUCCAGCUUGUUGGUUCUGUCGAAAGAGGGCUAUAUAAAAUAUCAGCAAUUCUACACAUUAUCCAUUGUCAAAACUAUCUCUGGUCAUGCAGGGCAACAAAGAGAUGUUGACCCAAGAAGUUAGUCCUAAUUUCAAUAUCAAAUUAAUUUAUUGUUGGGAAAUUUGAAGGAGUUGAUUAAAAGCUAUGUCUGUACAGCAAUUAAAUAAAAUUAAGUGCAUCUGCUUCAUUUAAUUUAAUGAU
Mobula hypostoma (lesser devil ray) is the source of this 3119-nucleotide long non-coding RNA. RefSeq lists it as uncharacterized. NCBI's taxonomy places the organism in Eukaryota, Metazoa, Chordata, Chondrichthyes, Myliobatiformes, Myliobatidae. The record is from RefSeq and is a predicted model, not a curated record. The transcript is spliced from 3 exons.